RNAcentral lists this ribosomal RNA (463 nucleotides) under Vreelandella stevensii. Its description in RNAcentral is "partial 16S ribosomal RNA". It matches the Rfam family "Bacterial small subunit ribosomal RNA", at positions 338 to 795 of the family's 1533-position model. Lineage: Bacteria; Pseudomonadati; Pseudomonadota; Gammaproteobacteria; Oceanospirillales; Halomonadaceae. The record is from RNAcentral.
CCUACGGGCGGCAGCAGUGGGGAAUAUUGGAAAUGGGCAAAAGCCUGAUCCAGCCAUGCCGCGUGUGUGAAGAAGGCCUUCGGGUUGUAAAGCACUUUCAGUGGGGAAGAAAGCCUUGGGGCUAAUACCCUCGAGGAAGGACAUCACCCACAGAAGAAGCACCGGCUACUCCGUGCCAGCAGCCGCGGUAAUACGGAGGGUGCGAGCGUUAAUCGGAAUUACUGGGCGUAAAGCGCGCGUAGGCGGUCUGAUAAGCCGGUUGUGAAAGCCCCGGGCUCAACCUGGGAACGGCAUCCGGAACUGUCAGGCUAGAGUGCAGGAGAGGAAGGUAGAAUUCCCGGUGUAGCGGUGAAAUGCGUAGAGAUCGGGAGGAAUACCAGUGGCGAAGGCGGCCUUCUGGACUGACACUGACGCUGAGGUGCGAAAGCGUGGGUAGCAAACAGGAUUAGAUACCCCAGUAGUC